Molecule: long non-coding RNA, 1633 nt
Filed under: Gallus gallus (chicken)
Lineage: Eukaryota; Metazoa; Chordata; Aves; Galliformes; Phasianidae
Description: lncRNA (ENSGALG00010026791.1)
Source: RNAcentral
ACCAAGUUUGGCCUGCUGUUUUCCAGAAGGAGCCGCAAAGAAGCUUAAAAUAUGCAUUUCUGUCUCCCUCUGGAGAUUACUGUGCUUUCACCAUUUUACUUUCAUCUGGAUUGAGCACUGCUAUUCAGAUUUAACAACGGCGCAGGCCAAGUAAGGGAGCAUAAUGUUGAUCCUGCUUAGUUGGCCGUGUCUAAUCCAGCUGUUCCUAAUAUACUUUGGCUUGAAUUCAUGCCACUUAAUUGAAAGGUCUAAAAUAAGGGCUAGAGAGAUGUUUGUCUGGAUGGUGACUUGCAUGUUGGUGGGUAGAGGUGUCCCUCUCUCUACUGACCAUAGAGGAAGCUGAGUGUUAUGGUCUACCUAUAUUGGGUGUUUUACACGAGUGCCUAAAGCUGAGUCAGGUGGAGUUAAGCCAAGUGUUGGAGGGUGCAAGCAAAGCAUGGGACACCCACUGUCUGUGUCACCUUUUGCAGCUUUGUUGCUACUUGGGUUAGAAGAAAUUCUACUUACAAUUUUGUGGGGCUGCAAACCCUUGCCUUCACUGGAAAUAUAAAUAUUCUUCAAUUUUGUCAUAUUAAGACGGUGUCCUCUAAAUAACCUACUUGAUAGAAUAAAGCAACUUUUGGGAAAGCAUAAGCAAUCAGCAGAAAUCAGGUUCAGAUUUUUUUUUUAAAUAAUCUUUGCUUCUGAGGUUAAAAUAACAAGAACCAGAUGUAAAACUGCAGAUAUGUUCAGGACUUUGAAUUCACUUUGUGAGUUACGAUGUUGUGGCUUGGAGAGAGAGAGGCAAGCAGAAAGAGCCCUGCGUUCUGCCAAAUGGGCAGGAAUGUGAAGUUCUCUUGUUUCUCACUUCUGAGAAAUGGAGUAAAAAAACCUGAUGCUUGCAUAAGUAGUUCUGGCUCAUCUAUCUGAAUUUGCUUUCCCAAAGGAAGAGUCGUAUUCAGACUAAACUUUGUUAGAUACUGUACGUUUUUUUCCUCCUGCAAGUAAUUGAAGUUUUAUGAACAUUAAGUAGAACUUAUGCAAAUAAUAAGUAAGAAACUUAUUUCCAGCAGAAGUGUUAAAUAAAAGCUGCACGAUCUUCCAGGCUACCAUUGUUGUAGUGAUACAAUAACUCACUGGAUAUUUUCUGCCCUUUUUCUAGGAGCUGGCAUCUCAUCCAGGGUAUGUUUGGAAGAUGAACAAAAGGGUUUGAUUUGUUGAUAAACGUUACCCUCUCUCUUUGGUGCAAAGAGCAAAUGACCGAUCUCCGGCCUUCUCCCUGAAAAAUGCUUCUUCCUCACUGCUGUCAGUAUCUGCCCAAGUAUUUUCUGCCUCCUUGUCUCUUGCUAAACUCUGAGUUUGCAGAUGAUGAUGCCUUAAUAAAUUAGUGGGUUGGAAAGGAGGGACGCUAAUGAAGUUUGUCUUAAUGGGAGGCUGUGAAAGUGAAUCUGCUAGGGCUGGUUUUCUGAGUUUUUCAAGGCUCCUCCAUGAGAGGGAUGGUAAAUAUUUCUUGCACAAAGAGACCUUUUUGCAUUAAGAGUCUGAUGCCUGCCAUGCUGUGUAUGCCACAGCAAACCAGAGCUCAGGAAGGUACUGAAACAGAAGUGCUGUUUUUUUCAAAUUGACUCCCUUUCAUGGAGAUCUUAGUUCUGAC